GCGUAAUUGGUUUAGUGGUAAAAUUCUCCGUUGCCAUCGGAGAGCCCAGGGUUCGAUUCCCUGAUUACGCA
Molecule: transfer RNA, 71 nt
Filed under: Fusarium fujikuroi B14
Lineage: Eukaryota; Fungi; Ascomycota; Sordariomycetes; Hypocreales; Nectriaceae
Description: tRNA-Gly (GCC) (tRNA-Gly-GCC-3-1)
Rfam family: tRNA
About the family: Transfer RNA (tRNA) molecules are approximately 80 nucleotides in length. Their secondary structure includes four short double-helical elements and three loops (D, anti-codon, and T loops).
Source: RNAcentral